UGGGGAAUUUUGGACAAUGGGCGAAAGCCUGAUCCAGCAAUGCCGCGUGUGUGAAGAAGGCCUUCGGGUUGUAAAGCACUUUUGUCCGGAAAGAAAUCCUUGGCUCUAAUACAGUCGGGGGAUGACGGUACCGGAAGAAUAAGCACCGGCUAACUACGUGCCAGCAGCCGCGGUAAUACGUAGGGUGCAAGCGUUAAUCGGAAUUACUGGGCGUAAAGCGUGCGCAGGCGGUUUGCUAAGACCGAUGUGAAAUCCCCGGGCUCAACCUGGGAACUGCAUUGGUGACUGGCAGGCUAGAGUAUAGCAGAGGGGGGUAGAAUUCCACGUGUAGCAGUGAAAUGCGUAGAGAUGUGGAGGAAUACCGAUGGCGAAGGCAGCCCCCUGGGCCAAUACUGACGCUCAUGCACGAAAGCGUGGGGAGCAAACAGGAUUAGAUACCCUGGUAGUCCACGCCCUAAACGAUGUCAACUAGUUGUUGGGGAUUCAUUUCCUUAGUAACGUAGCUAACGCGUGAAGUUGACCGCCUGGGGAGUACGGUCGCAAGAUUAAAACUUAAAGGAAUUGACGGGGUCAUAGCUGUUUCCU
RNAcentral lists this ribosomal RNA (585 nucleotides) under uncultured bacterium. RNAcentral's name for it is "partial 16S ribosomal RNA". It matches the Rfam family "Bacterial small subunit ribosomal RNA", at positions 355 to 1375 of the family's 1533-position model. The record is from RNAcentral.